GGUAAACUGUGUCAUGGGGGGUUUGUUGUCACGGGGGUUUGUUACGUAGGUAAACUGAGUCCUGAGGGUUUGGUUAUUAUUUCAUCACCCAGGUAUUAAGCCUAGUACCCAUUAGUUAUUGUUCCUGAUCCUCUCCCUCCUCCCACCCUCCACCCUCCGAUAGGCCCCAGUGUGUGUUGUUCCCCUCUAAGUGUCCGUGUGUUCUCACCAUUUAGCUCCCACUUAUGAGUGAGAACAGCAGCAUGGCAUUUCUUUCUUUUGAGACGGAGUCUCACUCUGUCGCCCAGGCUGGAGUGCAGUGGUGCCAUCUGGGCUCACUGCAACCUCCACCUCCCUGGUUCAAGUGAUUCUCCUGCCUCAGGCUCCUGAGUAGCUGGGAUUACAGGUACCCGCCACCACACCAGGCUAAUUUUUUGUGUUUUUAGUAGAGACGGGGUUUCUCCAUAUUGGCCAGGCUGGUCUCGAACUCCUGACCUCAGGUGAUCCACUGGCCUUGGCCUCCCAAAGUGCUGGGAUAACAGGCGUGAGCCACCACAACCGGCCGGCAGGGCAUUUCUUACUGUAUCUAGGAUUGGUGAGAUGGCCCCUGGAUAUGAUCCUUCUGCUGAGAAUCAAGAACACCCAUGGGAGCCAGCUGGAGUUGACACCCAUUUCCACUGGAACCACCUACGUGUUUUCAGUUCUGCUGACCCAGAUUCUGGGACUCUUGUCAACUUCAAAAGCUGCUUAUUCCAGGGAAAUUCAGAGGAACAAGAAUCAGAAGAGAGUCAUGCUCCAGAACCAUGGAGCCCUGAAAAGUAGGGCCUCCCAAAAAUACGGUAAAUAAAGAUUAAAAAUCAAAGGAAAGUACAGCUUGCCUCACAUGAGUGGGCCUGCGAUCUCAGUGAAAGACAGUCGAGACCCACGAAGCAUAUACAAUAUCAUGAAGCACACGACAUGAGCGUUUGUAAUUUGAACAUUUAUAGGGGACACAGAAAGUAUCCGUUGUUUGGAAUUAAUUUUACAGGUCACUGCUGUUACAUGAAAUCAUUCUGGAUGGCUCCUCUUAGGAUGAAAAAGUUUGAGUGGCAGUUUCCAUGGGGUUUCUGCGGAAAGCCAAAAGCCUCCCUGGAAAAGAAGCACUGCACAGCACGUGAUGGCUAGCAAUGUGAAAGUGCCCUGUGGCCCCGCAUCUUGUGAGAAGGUCCCCAGAUCAUUCCUACAAGGGUUGUGUGUUUGUGUUUCCAUUUUCUUUUCUUUUUUCUUUUUUAUUUUAUUUUAUUUUAUUAUACUUUAAGUUUUAGGGUACAUGUGCACAAUGAGCAGGUUAGUUACAUAUGUAUACAUGUGCCAUGCUGUUUUGCUGCACCCAUUAACUAGUCAAUUAGCAUUAGGUAUAUCUCCUAAAGCUAUCCCUCCCCACUCCCCCCACUCCACAACAGUCCCCAGAGUGUGAUGUUCCACUUCCUGUGUCCAUGUGUUUCCAUUUUCAAUUUGGACCUGUCAGGGCAUGCCGGCCAGGGCCAAUUUUUAUCUCCCUGUGAUGUCAGAUCUUUGUAGGAUUUUUGUUUCUUUUCGAUAUUGAAUCACCCAGUGUUGUAUAUGGCCGUUCCUAUUAAUAAAAUGUGUUCUGCUGACUUUGGGGAUCUAUUUCUUUUCAUUAUUUUCAAAAGAAACAUUGAAUUGCUUUUCCGGAGCACAGUUUCCAAUCCCUUCUGCCUUUUUCUUGCAUGUACGCUAUUGUCAUUGAGGUUACAGAGCUUGGGAAGAAAAGAAAUUUCAAGAAUAGAAGUGGAAGUCAUGUUAUGAAUAAAAUGUAUGUGAUGAGUUUUUUCACCGACAGAAAGCAGCUUUCCUGAUGCCUCCCACAGUUGAGAACAUCCUCUGGGCUCCCUUUACAUCACGCUUGGUUCAAUCGGAGCACCUAUUAUCCUGCAUAAAAUUUCCCUCCUUGCCUCACUCUGUGUUUCCCACUGGGCAGGAAUGUCCUUUAGGAUGAGAACUGGGUCAUUUAUCUGCAUUUUCAUUGCCUGGAACAGCACUCUAUAACUGUUUGUGGAAUGAAUCAGAGAUAUAAUUAUGUGCUUUUACACAUACAGGAAUUGGAACACAUAUUUAUAUAAGGAUAUAAUGAAAAAAGAAAAAAAAUGGAACUAUGGUAAAAUGAAAAGGAGAUGCUAGAACAGAAACCAGUCCCUGAGGUGGGUAAAAUAUUAGAAAAGGCUAUAGGAAAAUUUGAGGCAGUUGGCUUUUACUUCUCAGAAGCACGGACGAGUUCAUACAAGAAAAACUAACAUGACAGGGACUUUCUUCUGUAAGGCCAGCUCAGAUCAUACACCUAGUGCCCCUCCUGUAGUGACAAGUAAAGGGACCUGAAGUUUUUCAGUCAAGGGAGGAAACUGUCACGGGGAGUGAACCAAUGAAAAUAGUUGAAAAGGUUGAAAGUGAAAGGGUUAGGGUUUUUAUUGGAAUGUAGUAUGCGCACUAAAGUUUAUCUGUGG
This 2480-nucleotide long non-coding RNA is filed under the name Pan paniscus (pygmy chimpanzee). RNAcentral's name for it is "lncRNA (ENSPPAG00000045268.1)". Lineage: Eukaryota; Metazoa; Chordata; Mammalia; Primates; Hominidae. The record is from RNAcentral.